UCGUCGGUCCCCAGCCCCAUCCCCGUGGGUCCCAUCCCAUCCCUGCAGCUCCCCGUGGGUCCCAUCUCAUCCUUAUGGGUCCUAUCUCAUCCCUGAAGGUGCCCAUGGGUCCCAUCCCAUCCCUAUGGGUCCCAUCCAUGUCCCCGUGGGUCCUGUCCCAUCCCUGUGGGUCCUGUCCUGUCCCCAUGGGUCCCAUCUCAUCCCUAUGGGUCCCAUCCCAUCCCUGCAGGUCCCAUCCAUGUCCCCGUGGGUCCUGUCCCAUCCCCGUGGGUCCCAUCUCAUCCUUAUGGGUCCUAUCUCAUCCCUGCAGGUGUCCAUGGGUCCCAUCCCAUCCCUGUGGGUCCCAUCCCAUCCCUGCAGGUCCCAUCCACAUCCCUGUGGGUCCCAUCCCAUCCCUGCAGGUCCCAUCCACAUCCCUGCAGAUCCCAUCCACAUCCCUGUGGGUCCUGUCCUGUCUCCAUGGGUCCCAUCCGAUCCCCGUGGGUCCCAUCUCAUCCCCAUGGGUCUUAUCCCAUCCCUGCAGGUCCCAUCCACGUCCCCAUGGGUCCCAUCCGAUCCCUGUGGGUCCCAUCUCAUCCCUAUGGGUCCCAUCCCAUGCCUGCAGGUCCCCAUGGGUCCCAUCCAUGCCCUGUGGGUCCCAUCCAUGUCCCCGUGGGUCCCAUCUCAUCCCUAUGGGCCUCAUCCCAUGCCUGCAGGUCCCCAUGGGUCCCACCCUGUCCCCGUGGGUCCCAUCUCAUCCCUAUGGGUCUCAUCCCAUCCCCGCAAGUCCCCAUGGGUCCCACCCUGUCCCCGUGGGUCCCAUCCCAUCCCUGUGGGUCCCAUCCCAUGCCUGCAGGUCCCAUCUCAUCCCUAUGUGUCCCAUCUCAUCCCUGUGGGUCCCGCCCCGUCCCCACGGGUCCCCGGCGCCCACCGGUGAUCUUGUCGCGGACCAGCUUGCAGGACUCGAUGUCGCCGAUGCUGCCGAAGAGGCUCUUGAACUCCUCCUGGCUCAUGUUCUGGGGCAGGUAGUUGACG
RNAcentral lists this long non-coding RNA (1014 nucleotides) under Apteryx haastii (Great spotted kiwi). RNAcentral describes it as "lncRNA (ENSAHAG00000004271.1)". The record is from RNAcentral. Lineage: Eukaryota; Metazoa; Chordata; Aves; Apterygiformes; Apterygidae.